UCUGUGGCAUGGUGUCAUCUCCAUGUCUUCUCACUGCAAGACCUAGAGCUGGGCUUAGUCCCCGGCCCCACCGUUGGUUCGUCGCCCCGGCAGGUGUGACGGGGGAGGUUGGGCACUGUGUUUGGUUGCUCCGGCCUUCUUCCAACUCUUUGGUCCUCCUACCAGCCUCCAAUCCUUACCACUCUCGGUAUUUACGGUUGUGUAUAUUCGGGGAAGAUUCCUACAAGUGAGACUGCUAGAUUAAAACCACUGUCCUGUCUGCACUGAGUGACCUGGACCACUGGGCCAACACUGGCAGAGGAAAUCAUCAUCACUG
Molecule: long non-coding RNA, 316 nt
Organism: Cervus elaphus (red deer)
Lineage: Eukaryota; Metazoa; Chordata; Mammalia; Artiodactyla; Cervidae
Exons: 3
Source: RefSeq, a predicted model, not a curated record